Euryarchaeota archaeon RBG_16_68_12 is the source of this 73-nucleotide non-coding RNA. Lineage: Archaea; Methanobacteriati; Methanobacteriota. The record is from Rfam.
GGGCUCGUGGGGUAGCUUGGUAUCCUACCAGCUUGGGGUGCUGGCGACUCCGGUUCAAAUCCGGACGGGCCCA